GUACCACAUUUUCUGUAUCCAUUCCUCUGUUGAAGGGGAUCUGGGUUCUUUCCAGUUUCUGGCUAUUAUAAAUAAGACUGCGAUGAACAUAGUGGAGCACGUGUCUCUUUUAUAUGUUGAGGCAUCUUUUGGGUAUAUGCCCAAGAGAGGUAUAGCUGGAUCCUCAGGCAGUUCAAUGUCCCAUUUUCUGAGGAAACUCCAGACUGAUUUCCAGAAUGGUUUUACCAGUCUGCAAUCCCACCAACAAUGGAGGAGUGUUCCUCUUUCUCCACAUCCUCGCCAGCAUCUGCUGUCACCUGAGUUUUUGAUCUUAGCCAUUCUCACUGGUGUGAGGUGAAAUCUCAGGGUUGUUUUGAUUUGCAUUUCCCUUAUGACUAAAGAUGUUGAACAUUUCUUUAGGUGUUUCUCAGCCAUUCGGCAUUCCUCA
This 427-nucleotide long non-coding RNA is filed under the name Rattus norvegicus (Norway rat). RNAcentral's name for it is "long non-coding RNA NONRATT010151". The record is from RNAcentral. Lineage: Eukaryota; Metazoa; Chordata; Mammalia; Rodentia; Muridae.